GGUAGUCCAUGCCGUAAACGUUGGGCACUAGGUGUGGGGGACAUUCCACGUUUUCCGCGCCGUAGCUAACGCAUUAAGUGCCCCGCCUGGGGAGUACGGCCGCAAGGCUAAAACUCAAAGGAAUCGACGGGGGCCCGCACAAGCGGCGGAGCAUGCGGAUUAAUUCGAUGCAACGCGAAGAACCUUACCAAGGCUUGACAUGAACCGGAAAGGCCUGGAAACAGGUCCCCCACUUGUGGUCGGUUUACAGGUGGUGCAUGGUUGUCGUCAGCUCGUGUCGUGAGAUGUUGGGUUAAGUCCCGCAACGAGCGCAACCCUCGGUCUAUGUUGCCAGCACGUGAUGGUGGGGACUCAUAGGAGACUGCCGGGGUCAACUCGGAGGAAGGUGGGGACGACGUCAAAUCAUCAUGCCCCUUAUGUCUUGGGCUUCACGCAUGCUACAAUGGCCGGUACAAAGGGUUGCGAUACUGUGAGGUGGAGCUAAUCCCAAAAAGCCGGUCUCAGUUCGGAUUGGGGUCUGCAACUCGACCCCAUGAAGUCGGAGUCGCUAGUAAUCGCAGAUCAGCAACGCUGCGGUGAAUACGUUCCCGGGCCUUGUACACACCGCCCGUCAAGUCACGAAAGUUGGUAACACCCGAAGCCGGUGGCCUAACCCCUUGUGGGAGGGAGCUGUCGAAGGUGGGACUGGCGAUUGGGACUAAGUCGUAACAAGGUAGCCGUACCGGAAGGUGC
Molecule: ribosomal RNA, 732 nt
Filed under: uncultured bacterium
Lineage: Bacteria
Description: bacterial SSU rRNA
Rfam family: Bacterial small subunit ribosomal RNA
Source: RNAcentral